RNAcentral lists this transfer RNA (84 nucleotides) under Camelus ferus (Wild Bactrian camel). It matches the Rfam family "tRNA", at positions 5 to 66 of the family's 71-position model. Rfam says of the family: Transfer RNA (tRNA) molecules are approximately 80 nucleotides in length. Their secondary structure includes four short double-helical elements and three loops (D, anti-codon, and T loops). The record is from Rfam by way of RNAcentral. Lineage: Eukaryota; Metazoa; Chordata; Mammalia; Artiodactyla; Camelidae.
GUAUAGCUCAGUGGUAGAGCACAUGCUUAGCAUGGUAGAGCACAUGCUUAGCAUGCAUGAGGUCGUGGGUUCAAUCCCCAGUGC